This 455-nucleotide ribosomal RNA is filed under the name uncultured bacterium. RNAcentral describes it as "bacterial SSU rRNA". It matches the Rfam family "Bacterial small subunit ribosomal RNA", at positions 29 to 528 of the family's 1533-position model. The record is from RNAcentral.
AACGAACGCUGGCGGCAUGCCUAACACAUGCAAGUCGAACGAAGCCUUCGGGCUUAGUGGCGCACGGGUGCGUAGCGCGUGGGAAUCUGCCCCUUGGUUCGGAACAACAGUUAGAAAUGACUGCUAAUACCGGAUAACGACGAAAGUCCAAAGAUUUAUCGCCGAGGGAUGAGCCCGCGUAAGAUUAGGUAGUUGGUGGGGUAAUGGCCUACCAAGCCGACGAUCUUUAGCUGGUCUGAGAGGAUGAUCAGCCACACUGGGACUGAGACACGGCCCAGACUCCUACGGGAGGCAGCAGUGGGGAAUAUUGGACAAUGGGCGAAAGCCUGAUCCAGCAAUGCCGCGUGAGUGAUGAAGGCCUUAGGGUUGUAAAGCUCUUUUACCAGGGAUGAUAAUGACAGUACCUGGAGAAUAAGCUCCGGCUAACUCCGUGCCAGCAGCCGCGGUAAAGUCUG